Acomys russatus (golden spiny mouse) is the source of this 103-nucleotide small nuclear RNA. The record is from RefSeq and is a predicted model, not a curated record. NCBI's taxonomy places the organism in Eukaryota, Metazoa, Chordata, Mammalia, Rodentia, Muridae.
UUGCUUCAGCAGCGAAUAUAUUAAAAUGAGAACAAUACAGAGAGGAUUAGCAUGGCCCUUGUAUAAGAAUGACAUGCAAAUUCAUGAUGUGCUCAAUAUUUUU